GAAGGGGAUCAUAGAACUUGCAAAUGAAGAUGACUCGACUCUUACCCCAUCUCUUAUCCAAAAAGGGCUCCAAGUCUCUGAGGAUCCAGAGCACAACACCUGCAAGAUCAAAUGUGAUGUUGUAAUUAUAGGUUCUGGCUGCGGUGGAGGGGUUGCAGCUGCAGUGCUUGCAAACUCAGGUCAGAAAGUACUCGUCCUAGAGAAAGGGAACUACUACGUACCAGCAGAUUAUUCUUCAUUAGAAUGGCCUUCCAUGGCUGAACUUUAUGAGUCUAGUGGUUUUCUAUCAACUCUAAAUGGGAGAAUCAUGAUAUUGGCUGG
This 321-nucleotide long non-coding RNA is filed under the name Manihot esculenta (cassava). RNAcentral describes it as "long non-coding RNA (MESC_LNC006947)". Lineage: Eukaryota; Viridiplantae; Streptophyta; Magnoliopsida; Malpighiales; Euphorbiaceae. The record is from RNAcentral.